CCCGUUUCAGCACCUCGAACUACAAGAUUGUGCCAUUACAUGUGUCUUGCACUGACAGACUGCAGACCUGGCACAGGCCUCGGACCCAGGGCCCCUUCCUGACCCGGGUGUGAUGUCUGUUGGAGAGAAAUUGAAAGACAUUCAGCCACAGCUGGGGAUCUGUAAGAUUCUUCAUGGACUUGAGGAACUCACCAUGGUGGAGUCCAAAUUUGGUCUUGUGCCCUUUGGAUCAGUUCUAUCAUACCAGUGCCCCCUAGAGAGCGUGCCCUGGUGGGGAAAGUGGACGCGGGGAAGAUCAAGCACAAGUGGGAGAACCUCAAACAAAAAUACAAGGGCCUUGAGGAAGAUGCUGCGCCACCGCGUCUUCAUCAUGCCAAUCGCCCUUUCCACCACACACCGUGCUUUGGCAUGAUGCC
Molecule: non-coding RNA, 416 nt
Organism: Labrus bergylta (ballan wrasse)
Lineage: Eukaryota; Metazoa; Chordata; Actinopteri; Labriformes; Labridae
Source: RefSeq, a predicted model, not a curated record